This 460-nucleotide ribosomal RNA is filed under the name uncultured bacterium. RNAcentral's name for it is "partial 16S ribosomal RNA". It matches the Rfam family "Bacterial small subunit ribosomal RNA", at positions 338 to 795 of the family's 1533-position model. The record is from RNAcentral.
CCUACGGGGGGCAGCAGUGAGGAAUAUUGGUCAAUGGACGAGAGUCUGAACCAGCCAAGUAGCGUGAAGGAUGACUGCCCUAUGGGUUGUAAACUUCUUUUAUAUGGGAAUAAAAUGUUCCACGUGUGGGAUUUUGUAUGUACCAUAUGAAUAAGGAUCGGCUAACUCCGUGCCAGCAGCCGCGGUAAUACGGAGGAUCCGAGCGUUAUCCGGAUUUAUUGGGUUUAAAGGGAGCGUAGGUGGAUUGUUAAGUCAGUUGUGAAAGUUUGCGGCUCAACCGUAAAAUUGCAGUUGAAACUGGCAGUCUUGAGUACAGUAGAGGUGUGCGGAAUUCGUGGUGUAGCGGUGAAAUGCUUAGAUAUCACGAAGAACUCCGAUUGCGAAGGCAGUUCACUGGACUGCAACUGACACUGAGGCUCGAAAGUGUGGGUAUCAAACAGGAUUAGAUACCCCUAUAGUC